GACACCCUACGGGACGCAGCAGUAGGGAAUAUUGCUCAAUGGGGGAAACCCUGAAGCAGCAACGCCGCGUGGAGGAUGAAGGUUUUCGGAUUGUAAACUCCUUUUGUUAGAGAAGAUAAUGACGGUAUCUAACGAAUAAGCACCGGCUAACUCCGUGCCAGCAGCCGCGGUAAUACGGAGGGUGCAAGCGUUACUCGGAAUCACUGGGCGUAAGGAGCGCAUAGGCGGGAUAGCAAGUCAGAUGUGAAAUCCUAUGGCUUAACCAUAGAACUGCAUUUGAAACUGUUAUUCUAGAG
Molecule: ribosomal RNA, 296 nt
Filed under: uncultured bacterium
Lineage: Bacteria
Description: partial 16S ribosomal RNA
Rfam family: Bacterial small subunit ribosomal RNA
Source: RNAcentral